UGGGGAAUCUUAGACAAUGGGGGAAACCCUGAUCUAGCCAUGCCGCGUGAGUGAUGAAGGCCCUAGGGUCGUAAAGCUCUUUCGCCAGGGAUGAUAAUGACAGUACCUGGUAAAGAAACCCCGGCUAACUCCGUGCCAGCAGCCGCGGUAAUACGGAGGGGGUUAGCGUUGUUCGGAAUUACUGGGCGUAAAGCGCACGUAGGCGGACUGUUAAGUCAGAGGUGAAAUCCCGGGGCUCAACCCCGGAACUGCCUUUGAUACUGGCAGUCUUGAGUUCGAGAGAGGUGAGUGGAAUUCCGAGUGUAGAGGUGAAAUUCGUAGAUAUUCGGAGGAACACCAGUGGCGAAGGCGGCUCACUGGCUCGAUACUGACGCUGAGGUGCGAAAGUGUGGGGAGCAAACAGGAUUAGAUACCCCCGUAGUCC
This 424-nucleotide ribosomal RNA is filed under the name uncultured prokaryote. RNAcentral describes it as "bacterial SSU rRNA". It matches the Rfam family "Bacterial small subunit ribosomal RNA", at positions 355 to 796 of the family's 1533-position model. The record is from RNAcentral.